CCUACGGGAGGCAGCAGUGAGGAAUAUUGGUCAAUGGGCGAUAGCCUGAACCAGCCAAGUAGCGUGAGGGAUGAAGGCCCUAUGGGUCGUAAACCUCUUUUGUCGAGGAGCAAAGUGCAGUAUGUGUGCUGUUUUGUGUGUACCCUAUGAAUAAGCAUCGGCUAACUCCGUGCCAGCAGCCGCGGUAAUACGGAGGAUCCGAGCGUUAUCCGGAUUUAUUGGGUUUAAAGGGGGCGUAGGUGGGAGGGUAAGUCAGUGGUGAAAGUUGGCGGCUCAACCGCAAAAUUGCAGUUGAUACUGCCAGUCUUGAGUGCAGUAGAGGUGGGCGGAAUUCGUGGUGUAGCGGUGAAAUGCAUAGAUAUCACGCAGAACUCCGAUUGCGAAGGCAGCAUACUGGAGUGCAACUGACACUGAUGCUCGAAAGCGUGGGUAUCAAACAGGAUUAGAUACCCGAGUAGUC
RNAcentral lists this ribosomal RNA (460 nucleotides) under uncultured bacterium. RNAcentral describes it as "partial 16S ribosomal RNA". It matches the Rfam family "Bacterial small subunit ribosomal RNA", at positions 338 to 795 of the family's 1533-position model. The record is from RNAcentral.